Molecule: unclassified non-coding RNA, 20 nt
Filed under: Dictyostelium discoideum
Lineage: Eukaryota; Evosea; Eumycetozoa; Dictyosteliales; Dictyosteliaceae
Source: RNAcentral
GAUAGUAGAUAAGUGCUUGA